Molecule: long non-coding RNA, 504 nt
Organism: Suricata suricatta (meerkat)
Lineage: Eukaryota; Metazoa; Chordata; Mammalia; Carnivora; Herpestidae
Source: Ensembl
CCAAGAGGCCCCAAUCAAGACCCUGGGCAGUCAGCGCCCGGCUGCUCCUCUGCACAGCGGACGGUUCCCCAGCCCGCGCCCCCCAGUCUCCCUAAAAGCUGUGUGCGGUGUGCAGAUUCGAGCUCGAAUUCUCCGCGCUCUAUCACGCCCCUGUCCUAACUUGAAGGGCUACGAGAAGGGCAGGACGAGCGUCUAGACGGGCACGUCCCCUCAGUGAGUUUACACGACUUGCUAGUCCCUACUGCUCUCUCCCUACAUGCGAUAAAGGGCAAGAGUACACAAUAUCGGGCUGCAGUUUCAGAACUGACCUUUCUCCGUUCUGAAAACCAGUGCAUGUGCGCGCCGCCGGGCACCAGCCCUUGGGCGAGUCCCAGCUUACUCCUCCUCCGGGGAAGGGGAAGCCUGGGCCACCGGGCUCCGCGACCAGCUAGCGACAGCUUUAGAUUUACAGAGAAGUCGAGCAGCUGCUACAGCGCUCCGGCGCCAGAAGCGUCCUGCCUUCGC